This 18321-nucleotide long non-coding RNA is filed under the name Trifolium pratense (red clover). RNAcentral describes it as "long non-coding RNA (TPRA_LNC012885)". Lineage: Eukaryota; Viridiplantae; Streptophyta; Magnoliopsida; Fabales; Fabaceae. The record is from RNAcentral.
GUGAUGAUGAUUGCAUAAAGAUACUAAAAAAUUGCAAGAAUGCAAUAUCAAGAAAAGGGAAAGGAGGAAAAGUGAUCAUCAUAGAUGUAGUAAUAAAUGAAAAAGAAGAUGAGCAUGAAAUGACAGAAGUGAAACUUUUACUUGAUGUGACUAUGAUGACCAGUCUCAAUGGAAAAGAGAGAAAUGAAAAGGAAUGGAAGCAACUUUUCUUACAAGCUGGCUUCAAAUCUUAUAAGAUAUUCCCCGCAUUUGGUUUUAGGUCUCUAAUUGAGCUUUAUCCGUAAGCCGUUCUGUAAUUUACUAAUUAAUUGUAAUUUUGCUUGUGUAACAAUUGUUGUUAAUCACAAGUGGUUGAUGGUUGAUGUGGUCGGUGUGUGAGUGUUGUAAACUCGGAAUAACAAGCUAGUUUGAUUCUUACUGAUAAGAAAAAUAUAUAGUUGUAAAGGAGCAGCUCGUAUUUAACUUAGGUGAUAUAGGUAGCCCUUUUGCAGUGGAAUAAGAAACAAGAAUAAGUAUACUUGGGUCAGAUUGAUUUCUUAAGUUAAUAUGCAAAUAGUAUUGUAUUUCCUUGCACAAAUUGUUAUAGCAGACUUUGAUGUAGCAACUUGAUAUUUGGUAGUAAAACAUGUUUUAUUAAAUAAAGUUGAAUUGAAUUAUCAACAUGCUAUCCAAAUAUAGGCAUAAUUUCACGCAUUUGUUGCAUUUCCAUGUCCAAGAGUAGGAAAUGCAACAAACAGUAUGGAUUUCACGCAUCUCGUGUGAAGAUGAAGGCAAUAAGCACUUUACCUACAUUACGAGUAUUAGGGGAACAAUAAAUGAUUAUAGGCAUAAUUACAUGGCACAUGUACUAUGUACUGUCCACAAAUUUAGUUGAAUUGGCAGAAAUGUCGAAAUUGUUAAUGUGUAUCAUGACAGGAGUUCGAACCCAGACCCUUCCACUUUGUAUGUGUGAGUUUUCAAUGACUUUUGUCAUUUCGUCUAUCUACAAAAAAAAAACAUAUAUGACAUAUGUACUAUGUGAUGAAAGUUUAUUAGGUCUAUGUUGGCCGCCUGACCUCUUUGAUGCUAAUGACGACCGUCUGACUCAUGAAAUAUUUUAGUAAUGUGCUUGUGUAUCUUUUGGGUCCGACAAUCACUAUUUAUCGAGCUUUAUAAUUAUUGUCAUGAACAAUAACCUUUACGGCACUUAUAUUUAUAUUUAUGUGAUAAGAAAAAAUCUGGACAAUCAUGAUCACGUUUACAUGGAAUGAUAACUGUAAUGAAAAAAGAGAAAAAACAAUGUUAUUAAAAUGCGAUAAAAUAUUGUAUACGAAGGAAAGAAGGAGAUUUAAAAAGGAGAUAAAAAUUGCUUACGAGCUGACAUUUGCGUUGAAACAAUAAAUAGGGAAAGAAGGAUUAUCAUAACAUAAACACACUUGAAACUUUUAUCCAUAUUUUUCACUCUUUGCAAGUAUCAAAUAGAAUUUAUUGUAUCACUUUUAUUUAUAAAGUUCAUGUUUUCUUUAUAUCAAUUAAAACAUUUCUAGUACUUAUAGAGUUGUUAAAAGACUUUCGAUGUUUUUUAUAUAUGUAAUUAUUAUGGUAUGUCUCUUAACAUGAGUAAAUUUGACCUUUUAGCACAUUUAGUAAGGAGGUCAAGUAAAAGUUCACAAAUGAAGUUGACCCAUCUUGACUAUGUAAAAAUGAUAAUUUGGCAUAAGAACAACAAUAGCUUCAACAAUCUGAAGAAACAAAAGCUUCAUAUUUCUUAAUUCUACAUGACCUAACCUUGUAAUGAAGAGACUAAUUGAUUGGUUUAUUUAUAUAUAUAUAUAUAUAUAGGGAAUGUUAUAACCCACCCAUUCAUUUUUAUGAAGGUGUGUAUUAGCAUGGUUUACCUUUUUGGAUUCGGCAAAAAUACCACUCUUUUUAAAUUAAAAAGAAAUGAAUUUGGGGGUAGAUAUGUAAUUUUCUUGUUGAUUCCACCCACUUCUCCAUCAACCUCUUAUCUCUCACGACACUGUUCACAUGAGAGAAACUCGGCAUGAAUUGUUUCUUUCUAUAUACCAACAUUUUUUUCAUCAUCCUUUUCUCCAAACUAUAACCAAACAUAUGUGGCUUUUUAGUAACUGCCAACCAAAUUGAUUACCCCAAAACCUCAUCACCAAAUUAAUCUUAUCCGUGGAUUUCAAAAGUCCCAACCAUGGAAGUAGAGGAUUCAAAUUUCUUAAAACAAAUUCCUGCAAAGGUCCCGAUUUCUUAAUUUAAUUCUUCUAAAAACAAAAAUAAAUUUCUUAAUUUGGUUUUUCGUUAUAAAUUCACAACCUGAAUCGAAGCUCUUGAUUUAAUUUAUUUUGAAAUAAAAAUAUCAUGACAAAAGGUAGUCUUGGUAGUUUCAAGUUGGCUUUGUCGUAAGAGCAAGAGGGAGAAAUGGAAGGAUUCAACAACAAAAUGUCAAAAUUAUAUAUCUGUCCCCAAAUUCAUUUCUUUUUAAUUUAAAAAGAAGAGUAUUUUUGCCCAAUUCAAGAAGGUGAAUCAUGCUAGUACACACCUUCAUAAACAUGAAUGAGUGUGUUAUAGCANNNNNNNNNNNNNNNNNNNNNNUUAACUUACUCCCACCUAAAAACAUGUGGGAGUAAGUUAACAAGCCUACUCCCACUUAUUUUUUACUUAAAAAUCCAACACUUUUAUUUGAAAAAUUUUGUUUUUAAACCAAAGAUAUCACUAACGGUUUUUUCGAUUUCGCAGGAUUUCUUGAUAUUGAAUUUUCAUUUUAUGCUUGUCACCGUCAGCCACUUGAAUUUUCUCAAUUUUUUUUCUUCGGUAGGCACCAAAACAUUUUUUUCUUUGACCACUAAAUCCACUUCUCGUUGAUUGAUUUUACUCACAGUCCUUGUAUUGUUCUUGUAUUAGGAAUUGGGAUGAGACAUUUUAAUUGGCUUGUUUGAUCUUCGGUAAAAUAAUUUCUACUUAUAUACUAUGGAGUAAGGACUCCGACACGGGCACAGCGACACGACACGGACACGGCGAUACCGCUAAUGUAAAAAAUAUAAGACACCGACACCGCUAUAUAUUUAUAAAACAUAUAAAUUUGGAAUCAAAAUAUAUACAUGUAAAUCUAAGUUGAGCAAGUUAUUUCUUAAAAAAAGUUUUAAAACAAGAUAUAAUAAUAUUUUACCUUUUAUUUAUCCAUCUACUGUCGAAAAAACUAAAAAUAUUAAUCAAUAAAAGGUAAAUACAUAUUUUACCUUUUUCUUUACCAAAAAAAAAUCUUUUGUUUAAUUAUUUUAUCUCUUAUAUUAUAAUAUUGAAAAUCAUAAGUAUGAAAACCAAAAUCAAGAGUUAUUUCCUUUCACCAAGAGUGGCUAGAGGCACAAAAAAAAAAAAUCGAAAGUGGCGAGAGGUUUUUUCAAAAUAAUAAAUUUACUCUUGACCUUGACAGUGAUAUAUGUUGUAUAUGUAAAUCCUAGAUGUAAAAAAGGGCAGAAUUCGCCCAUAAAACGAAAACCAUUUUACAAUAUAAAUGGUUUCACUGUUUAACUCUCUGAAACCAUUUAACCAGAAUAAUGGUUUCCAGGAUAUUUUUUUUGACACAUAUUUCCAGGAUUUUUUUUUUGAAACAAUGUUUCCAGGAUUUUUAAAACCAUAAAAACACAAUAUUGGUUUCAUACUUUCAUUGUUCAAUUUAACCAUGGUAUUUGAUUUGGCAAAUCCAUGGCCCAACCCAAUCUUUUUGUUUUUUCAAAUUUCGAGUCUCUUUCUCUUUUUUUUUGAAUUUUUAAAUCGAAUUUUCUAAUCUAAAUAAUAAAGUUACUCUUGACAUUGACAGUGUUAUAUAUUGUAUAUGUAAAUCCUAGAUGUAAAAAUGGGCAGAAUUUGCCCACGAAACGAAAACCAUUUUACAAUAUAAAUGGUUUCACUGUUUAACUCUCUGAAACCAUUUAACCAACAUAAUGGUUUCCAAAAUAAUAUUGCAUAAAUAGUAUUCAUCCCUCGAAUGAGCGGAUGUAAACCCGCCGGUCCCCUUUUUAAUCCAAUUUUAUUAAUUUUAUUAUAAAACCAUUAGACAAUUAUUUUGGUUUCACAUAGAAAACUAUGAAAACCAUUAUACCACACUUAUGGUUUCAGUAAUAAUUUCAUUGUUAUUUUAUAUUAUUAGAAUCAUUACGCAAUUAUUUUGGUUUCACAUACAAGAUUAUCAAAACCAUUAAACCACAAUUAUUUUGAAAGUCAGCUAGACCAAGGCCGAAAUUCGUUUUUACCACAAUGAUAUAAAAGUCAGAUAAAUGANNNNNNNNNNNNNNNNNNNNNNNNNNNNNNNNNNNNNNNNNNNNNNNNNNNNNNNNNNNNNNNNNNNNNNNNNNNNNNNNNNNNNNNNNNNNNNNNNNNNNNNNNNNNNNNNNNNNNNNNAUUCAAAGACAGAAACCAUAUUAUUCAUAUUAUGCUUCUUUUCUUCUUUCUUCACAUGCUGCUUCUUUUCCUUUCCUUUCGCCUCUCUCGUUUUCCGCGGUUGAUUUUUAUCACCACGAGAUGAUGAACCAAUUACAUUCCUUUUUUCCUCCUCCAAUUGUGUCAAUCCAAUACUGAAGGAUGGCAAUGGCGAUAGGUCCUUAGAUUUUUGCACCUGGAUCAAAGAAAACCAUUAAAUACAUAUAAUGGUUUUAGAGUACAAUUCUCUAAAACAAUUCAACAGCAAAAAUGGUUUUAACAUUCAAGAUGAAACAAUUACUUGAUGCUCUAAUAUUUAUUCAGUUCUAAAGAAUUAUUAAUUAAGCUAUUCCACUGCCAUGAGUACUAAAUAUAGUUGUCGCAAAAAGAGUGAUGCUAAAGUAUACUACUCUAUGACAANNNNNNNNNNNNNNNNNNNNNNNNNNNNNNNNNNNNNNNNNNNNNNNNNNNNNNNNNNCUUAGCACAUUACAAACCUAAAAAGAAAGAAAAUCAGACUCUGUGAACCACAGAGAGAGGCUUAGCUUAGCAAACGGUAAUGUGCCUAAACACAAAUGUUUUUCGAACCGUACCAUGACAACAUGCAAAAUCAAAGAACUAGACCACUAUUGGAGCAAGAGUAACUUCAGGCUAAAACAUACAGUUGAAUUGAGAAUCCACACACGUCAGUUAAAUUUAUCAUCAGAACAUAUAAACUAUCGAACCUCAACAAGUACAUCUAAUGGUUUCUAAAAUAACCUUUUGAGCGUGCUGUAAAUUAUAUAUAACAUUAUGCAUCUUGGAUUCAAAGGCAAAACCAUUAAGUACAUCUAAUGGUUUUAGAGUAAAACUAUCUAAAAUCAUUCCAAUAUUAUUCAUCUUGGAUUCAAAGUCAUAACAAUGCAUAAGUAAACAAACUUGAAGUCACAACAGUACUAAAAAUCACAUACACAUCUAGUUAGAAACUCAUAUCUCAUCUUGAAAAAAAAAACUCAGAUCUGAUCAAAAUCAUGCAACAACAAAACCAUUUCCAACCAACUAAUUGCAAUUACUUGAAAGCAUUUUUCAAACUCAACAACAAAAUUAAGUACAUCUAAUAGUUUUGGAGUACAACUCUCUGAAACCAUUUCACAGCAAAAUGGUUUUGACAUGAUUUUAGUUUAAAACUACACUACUACAAGAAAUGUUGAAGUCUUCAAUAUAGCUAAAACUCAAUUGAAGUUGAACACAAAGUGAUUAGUUCAAUAACCAUUUUUAAAAUAAGUUCAUUUGGCACUGUACUUUACAAAGUCAAUGUAGCAUAAUCACUACUACGCAAGCCUGUUAAAUUAAGUUCCAACUAAUCCACAUUUGGCAUACAUAACAUACUAAAACAUGAAUCAAUAGAUUUUAAAAUAAUCGGUCAAUUGUAAACUUCACAAGCAAUAGAUAUCAAAUUUCAAAUAAAACCACUUUACGAUACCAAAUACAUAUAAAACUGCCAUUACAAUACUAAAGCAUCUGCAAAACCCAAUAAAAGCAUCAAAGUGAGCGCGAUUUACUGAAAUAUAAAAAGUUUCAACAAAACAAAAUAUUUGUUCUAUGUUUGAGUUUAUUAUUUAGAAGAUCUUGCUAAGAAUACUAAUUAAGGAAUCAAGAUAUAGGUAAGAUAAUAUUGUAAAUCAUGAUAUUCAAUGCAUUAUUAAUUUCAAAAGUUGCACUUUCCAUUAAAAAACUUCUAUGUUUGAUUCCUUAAUCAGUGUUCUUAAGACAUUAGUUAGCAUUUGCCUUAUUGUGAACGGUUAGAGGACACCAAAACACAAAAAAUAAAGCACAAGACAAGAGUCUCAGGAUAAACUUGUAUAAUGCAGAAGUACACAACACCAUCUAAAAAAACACAGAUAAGUCCGGCCAAAUCGUAUCAAUGUCAAUUGUAAGCAACAAGCAAGCCAAAUUGGGCACGCAUCUAGCAAAACCACCACCACCCUAGAGUUUGUUACAAACCAAUGAACUAUAAGUGAACUAUCAGUGAACAAUGAAAAAAAAAUGAAAAACUAAUAGUUUAAUUUAUCACACUUAACAUAAAAACUAUUAAGUACAUCUAAUGGUUUUGGAGUACAACUCUCUGAAACCAUUCCACACAUGCAGUGAACCAAAUCAACACUCUGAAACCAUUUCCAACUAACAUAUACAAUUUUUAAACUAUUUUUUUGAGUUGAUUUUCUCCAAUUCAAAAUUAAACUAUCAAAUAGGGUUACACAAAUGCAAUUACUUUCCAAACUCAACAACAAAACCAUUUCCAACUAACGCAAAUUAAACUGUCAAUUAGGGUUACACUUUCAAAACUAAUUGCAAUUACUUGAAAGCACAAGAAAUUUGAGGAAGAAAUUAAGUACAAUAAGCUCGAACCUGUUUUGUUUUCAUCAUUUGAGNNNNNNNNNNNNNNNNGAUGAUGAUGAUACCCGUGAUGAUGUAGUGGUUUGGUUCCCGGCGAUGUUGAUGAAAUCGGUGAUGGCGAUGAACGGUGACGGUUAUGAUGAUGAUGAAUGAUGUUGUGGUUUGGUUCCCGGCGAUGUUGAUGAAAUCGGUGAUGGCGAUGAACGGUGAUAGUGAUGGCGAUGAACGGUGACAGUUAUGAUGGCGAUGGUUUCUGCGAUGAUGAUGAUGAUGAUGAUUUCAUGUUGUUGUUUCGUGUUGUUGUUGAUGAAUGAUGAAUGGUGAUAACCGUGUUGUUGAUGAAUGAAUGAUGAAUGAUGAAUGAAACGAGAGUUGGGCUUGGUCUUGUUAUGUUGUGGUGUAGGAAGCAAUUGGGCUGGGGUUUAGGAAGCAAACUUAUGCAUGGUGCGUAAGUUUGAGCUUAUGCACCAUAAGACUACCCACAAUGGUGUUGAGUCCAUUGUGUUGAAUAUGCAAAAGUCUGUUGAAACCAUUGCAAGCAAGUGUUGAAUCUGAUAUGGCAGAGAGAGAUGAUGAAAAUUUUCAACACAGUUGAAACCUGCUUCAGCNNNNNNNNNNNNNNNNNNNNNNNNNNNNNNNNNNNNUUUUAUUUGGCCUGUCUGGCGCGUGCGCAAUGUAACACCCAAACCCGUUAUUUAAUUAUCUCUGCCUUUAUAAAAUCUUUUNNNNNNNNNNNNNNNNNNNNNNNNNNNNNNNNNNNNNNNNNNNNNNNNNNNNNNNNNNNNNNNNNNNNNNNNNNNNNNNNNNNNNNNNNNNNNNNNNNNNNNNNNNNNNNNNNNNNNNNNNNNNNNNNNNNNNNNNNNNNNNNNNNNNNNNNNNNAAGACCUUAAAUUUUAGUUGUAAUUUAAUUUCUUGAAAGUCUAUGUUUGAAUUUGCUUGGAAAACCUUAAUUUUAGUUGUAAUUUAAUUCAAAGUCUAUGUUGGAAUUUAAUAUCUUAAAUUUGCAAAUUAUUUUCAAAUGUGUUGCGGGUUUGAGUUUGGGUGAAAAAAACCGAACCCAAUGGUGUGGGCGUGGGUGUUGUUUUGCCACCNNNNNNNNNNNNNNNNNNNNNNNNNNNNNNNNNNNNNNNNNNNNNNUGUGAGUUUGGUAAGUGUCAAACCCGCACUCAUGUGCGCCCGUUGCCAUCCCUAUCGAAAGCAGCAGCAUAAGUCCAUAACCUUUCUUAAUUUAUCAAUAAGGAUAAUUGUGACAUUUUAAAAUAAAUUUAAGGAUAAUGUCAAUAUAAUUAAAAUUGUACUCCCUCCGGUUCUUUUUAUAAGAAACACUUUGGAAUUUUUAUUUGGUCCUUUUUAUAAGAAACACUUAGACACAAUUCCAUUUGUACCCUUAUUAAAUACAAUCAAAUAAUUCAUUAUAAUGCUAGUGCAUUAAUUAGAGAAGUCUAUUUCUCAUACUAGUCAAAGGUUAGUUUUGGAAUAUAACAUAAAAUGAUAGAAUCAUUAAUGAGAAAAUUUACCUUCCUUGAUCUGUGUGAUUUUGUCAAAGUGUUUCUUAUAAUAAGGACCGGAGGGAGUAAUAAACUACCUCCUCUCCUCUCCUCAGAAGCAAAAAGUGUGUUUAGUAGGGAUUUUCCUUCCCUCCCACCUGUUUAUAAAAAUUGAACCAAACACAUUUUAUUUAAAUUAUUACCUUACCUAACUUUUCUCAACAACUUCUCUCCGCCGAAAACAAACUCUCCUUCUUCUCCCCCCUCAACUCUCAUUCUUUUCUCCACACCUUUCUCUCCCGCAAAUCCAAACAAACCCUAACAUUCUUUCACCUACAUUUUCAUGGAUUCUUCAAGAUUCAGACAUAAUCAUGAAUAUGUAUCUUCGGAUGAAGAAUCUGGUGCGUCGGAACAAAUCUUCAUCCUCCGAAAGAUAAAACAAGACCGACGAAGAUUUAUUACAAGACCGACAGUCUUGUUUUAUCUCAGAGGAUGAAGAUUUGUAGGAGGCGGAGGUUGAUUUUACUUUUUCAUUUGAAGUUCCGUCGCUCAUUGGUGAGUAUGUUGUCUCAGAUUGCUGAGGUAAAUUCAAUUUUAGUAACUAGAGUUCAUUCAUAACCCUAAAUUUUCUUUAUAUAAUUUGUUCAAAUCUUGAUAAUGCUGCAGACUCCAACCAUACAUAUUUCAUCCUCCAAGUUUACCAUUGGUUCGGACCAAAGUUGCAGCCAUGUAUUGCAGGGUCGGUAUUUAGGUCGACGGUCAUGUAAGAUCAAGCCCACACAGGUAGUAUUUUAACAUAUAAUGUGUAUUUAUACUUUUUUUAUCAGUGUAGGCGAUCCCGCCGGGAUGAGGUUGAAGAUAAUGAACUUGAGUUUUAAUUUAGUUACUUUAUUAAUUUAAGUGUUCCGGACUUUACUUUUGCUUCUUUAUUUUGCUUGACUUUUGUUGGUAAGUUGGAUGUAAUGUUUGAUCAAGACUUAAGAGUAAGACAUAGUGUUGGAUAUAAAUUUGAAAAUCUAAAUUUAACGUGGAAAACCCUCGAUGUGAGAGUAAAGAACCACGAGUGUCCAAGCCAAAGAAAUAGCUCCACUAUAAUCAAAUAAGGUACAAAAGAGUCUCCAAGUGAGGCACAAAACAAGUGCUAACAACCAAUUACACAACAAAGCACUAAAGCUUACCAAACAAGAACAAGAUGAAAAAAUCCCAAAAAACCUGAAGCACUGCAGACGCAAUUUCUCCCAAACCAAACCUGAAUUCGACGAUCCGAACGGUGAAACUGUAGCCCCUGGAGCUGCGAACCUGCCCUCCAAAUUUCGGCCAAAUCCAACGGUUAACGAAUCGGGAAUCGAUGUUUUAGUGAGGCUGCUGUGUCAAAAACGAGAAUUGGUUUCUCUCUACUUUUCUGUCUUUGUUGGUUGUUCUUUCUCACAAAAUUUUGCAACUAAGUGGGGAAAAAAAAUUUUGAAUGAAAAGAAAUGGAACAGUAAUGUAAUAGUCACACACCAGGUGGUCCGGUGAGCAAAAUAUGCGGACUUAAGACAGACAGAUUUUGACAGCAGUUUUGUUGUUCUUUAUAUUUCAAUGGUAUAAUGCAUGAAGCAACCAACAUCUUUUUGGUGCAUUCGCUGCAAAUAAAUAAAUGAAAAUAGUAUGAAUUAAAAUCCAUUAAAGAAAUGAACUAAACAAUACGACUUAUGAAAGGUUCAAGCAAGAGGCAUAAAAUACGGUAAUGAAUAUGGGAAACUCUCAAAAGUUGUGUCUAUAUUUUUUCGCUCCAAUAUUGCAUUACGGAUUGCACACGUCGCAGCAGUAGUUGAUGCAGCUGACGUAGAUGUGCCACUAGACACUUUCAAACAAGAAUUUAAUUCAUCGAGGUCAUGUGAAAUAGGAUCGUGAACCUUUGAUUUAAGGUCUAGACUUCCAGAUGUCAGAAGACACUCUGUUUGUAGAUUUAAACGAUCCCUUUGAUGGUCGUCAUCAUUCACUGUCUUGAAAUUUGAAAUAUGUUAAGAAAAAUCACUCGUGCACGUAGAAAUGAAUGUGUUGUAAAUUUCGCCUUCAUUGCGAUCUGCCCCCAUUCGACUAAUUGCGGCAUUUGGGUUGCAAUGAAGGCAACCCAAAUGCCGCAAUUAGGCGGAUGAGGGCGGACCACAAUGAAGGCGGAAUUUUCAACACUAUCUAUUCAUUCCUAUGUGCACGAGUGAUUUUUCUUAACCUAUUUCAAAUUUAGAUUUUCAAGAUAGUGAGUGAUAACGACCUUAAAAGAGGUCGUUUAAAUCUGCAAACAGAAUGUCUUCUGACAUCUCUUAUGGAAGUCUAGACCUUAAACCAAAGGUUGAUCACGAUCCUAUUUCACAUGACCUCGAUGAAUUAAAUUCUUGUUUGAAAGUGCCUAGUGGCACAUCUACGUCAGCUGCAUCAACUAAUGCUGCGACAUGUGCAAUCCGUAAUGCAAUAUUGGAGCGAAAAAAUAUAGACACAACUUUUGAGAGUUUCCCGUAUUCAUUACCGUAUUUUAUGCCUCUUGCUUGAACCUUUCAUAAGUCGUAUUGUUUAGUUCCUUUCUUUGAUGGAUUUUAAUUCACACUGUUUUCAUUUAUUUAUUUGCAGUGAAUGCACCAAAAAGAUGUUGAUUGCUGUAUGCAUUAUACCAUUGAAAUAUAAUAUAAAGAACAAGAAAACUGCUGUCAAAAUCUGUCUGUCUUAAGUCCGCAUGUUCUGCUCACCGGACCACCUGGUGUGUGACUAUUACAUUACUUGUUCCAUUUCUUUUCAUUCAAUUUUUUCCCCCCUUAGUUGCAAAAUUUUGUUGUUUUGCAUGAUUAGAAAUAUACCAGGAGACGUUGGCAAAAGCACUUGCACAUUACUUUGAUGCUAAGUUGCUCAUUUAUGAUCACCGUUGCCUUUUGGAUGUAAGAUAAAGCUUCCUUUCUUGUCUAAUAUUAAGAUUAAGCCGUGCAUGUAACCUUUGUAAUUGUACCACAUACUUUUACUGAAAACUCUUGUAAGAAUCUUUAUUUGGCGUUUGAUGACAGAUUAUAUCUUGCAAAGAAGCAGACACACUCAAAGAUGGAUUCAAUACCAGCACCGCCAAGCAAAGUUCUACCUCUGCAUAGGCUGCACAGGCAUUCAAAUUAGGCAUGUGAUAUCUUCUACCUCUUCAAAACGUUACUGAAUUUAUUUCCAAAACUAUUCUUUCAUGGAGUAAUUUUAUUGUUUUGCAUAUAUGGUAUCAUUUCUUUUUUAAUUUAUAUUCAGCAGAUUAGUUUAUUCUGUGUAUAUUUGAUGUUUUUUGACUAUUCCAGCCACAACACUAUUUAACCAAACUACUAAUACCAAUUGAACUUUUAAGUAGACUUAAUAAAUAAAAAACUAGGGCGCUUUUGUCACAUACUAACUUUUUCCUCUCUCCAUUUUUUAUAUUUCAUUGUCAUGCACAUUACAUAUGUCUGAGACUUUAUAAAUCCUGAAACUUGGAUGCUAUUAUUCUUUAUUAAGGAAAAUAUUUCAUAAUGAAAUUACAGUCAGCAUACCACAGGUAUAUACAGUGGACUGGAUGUUGUUAGUUGUGUUUCCUUAUAUAAUAUUCAUAAUAAUGAUUUUGCUGCAAUUAUUAGGAUGAGGCUGAGGCACUUCUAGCAUCACAAAAGCAGAAUAUGUCUCGAGAUAUAGAGACGCACACAAUAAAAAGGAAUGUACAUCAACUGCGCAUUGUAAGUACCUUGUAUUUUCUUUCAUUUUUAAUCCAUGCAAAAUAUUGAGAUGGAGGCUAUACGACUCUUUUAAGUUAUUUCAGUAUGGUACUGUGUAAUUCAAAGUAUCUUAGGGAGUUAUCCGAAUUGUUGGAUACCAGUCAAAAAGAGUCGAUGCAAGUUACUUUUGGGAGUUUAUUUCCCAAGGAUACAUGUGAAUCAUUGUUUUUUUAUGAUUUGAAUGUCUCUCAUAUCCUUGGUUUUUAUUUAAUGGGUCUUCCGUCUUUUAGAUUUCAUUAAACCCAUUGCACUCUUUUUCCCUUAUCCUUGGUUUUAUCCCUUGGGGUUUUCCAGAAAAGGUUUUUAAUGAGGCAGUGGCAGGUUCCUUGUAUUUUUGUUUCCUUGGGUUUUGGUCUAGUCCCCCCAAGUUUGUCUCUUUUUUCUUUCUUUCUAAUAAAUUUAUUAGGGUGCUGCAAAUGAUAGUUGAUGAUUAUGGGGUGCCAACAUAGUUGGGAUGUCAUAGUUAUCAUGUGAUGCCUGUGCACGCUAAUGUUUUAUAAAAAAAAAAAUGUCUCUCAUAUUAGUUAUGUAAGAAUGGUUGGUUUGGUGAGGGUGGUUUUGAUGUCUCUCUCAUAUCUAUAAAAAUCAUAUUAGGGUAAUAGUUUAGAGGAUAAAUCUUGGGAUAUUACACACUCUGAUGGAUUAUUUUACAAAUUAGUUCAAAGUCCCUUGAAGUCAGUUAUUUUAUUUUGUUGUUUACAGUUGCAAUUAGAUUCUUAAUUUACAGUAAUUACGACCUUUCAAGUUUUAUUUGUAGGUUUUGAGGCAUUAUAAACUUGAAUGUGAAGGACUUGAGACCUUGUGCAUAAAAGAUCAGAUACUUUCGAGCGAAUGUAUGUUCUUUACCAUUAAGUGCUUUUGGAUUUGUUACACAAGGUGCCAAUAAAAUCGUUGGUUGGGCUGUAUCGUACCACUUAAUGCAGAUGCAGAAUCCUAAUCCUGAGUCAACAAUUGUAUUAUCUCAGGAGUGGUGGUUACUAGUCUGCACCGUGCUUUUUUACUUGAUGUUUAUAAAAAUAUAAUAUAAUAUGUACUUAAUUGAAGUUUAAUAAUGUAAUGUCAUUAUGUUAUUCCCCAGCAUCAAUCAUGGAUUUGGCAUAUUGCAGUCUAGCCAAAGUGAGCCACAAAACAUGCGAAGGUCUCAAAAGGUGAUUGCUAUGCGGAGAUGUUCGUUGAUAUUUUAUUACUUGAAAGUUAUUCUAUUGGGAGUUGGGGGAGUUCGACCAACUUCCUUAAUGAACACCUGUUGUGUUGUUUGCAAUCAGGAUAUCAUAGCAGAAAAUGAAUUCGAAGCGAGCCUUUUGGCUAAUGUUAUUCCACCAAGCGAGACUGGUGUUACUUUUGACGAUAUUGGAGCUCUUGAAGCUGUGAAGGAUACGCUGAAAGAGUUGAUAAUGCUUCCUUUGAAGAUGCCUGAGCUUUUUCGCAAAGGGAAAUUAACCAAGGUUUUACUUUUUUUAUUGAAAUGCAUUUUAUUAUUUGUCUCUGCUCUUUACGGGUUUGCAAUUUGUAUAGGCUCUUUAUGGGUUGUCUAUUUGUCUAUGCUCUUUUACUGGUUUCUUUAGUUUAUUGGUUUUUAUGGUGCUUUUGAUGGGCUUUAUUUCUUUUGUAUAGAGUGUCACGUCGAACACAUUAUCUGAUGCCUGCUCUGUGGCCCCACUUAACUUGACAUCCGUAAGCUAAAGCAUCUUUUGUGGGCAAUUGGUUUACAUAAACUGUUAUCAGAAGGAACUUUUUAGUUAUUACAUUAGGAGUACAUUUACAUGAGGUCAUGAGAUCUCACAUAGACUCUUGUGCACCUUUCUGUUUCUAUUGUAAUUGUCCAAACCUCCCUUGUAACUAACUAACUAACUAACUUACUGAAAACUGUUGGUUAGAUUCUCCCUUAGCAGCUCAAUCUAUAAAUAGAUUGCAGCACAUUGUACUUAAUUACACAGCAAUUCGGUUUAAGCUCAAAUCAGAAAAUUGAUUUUUUCAGAUUCAGUUGUAAUUAAUUACUCAGCAAUUCGGUUUAAGCUCAAUUCAGAAAAUGGAUUUUUUUUCAGAUUCAGUUUAAGCUCAAUCUAGAUUUUAAAUUUCUAAUGGUCAUUUAUUUUUUUGUGCGUGGAUAAUAAACUAUUAAAAAAUUUAGUGAUGGUCUGAACACAUUAUCUAUUCUUUUUGAAGAGGCUGAACACAUUAUCUAUUCACAUUGUGAACUACCCUUUGUGCAGCCAUGCCAGGGUAUACUAUUGUUUGGCCCCCCUGGAACAGGCAAAACGAAGCUUGCGAAGGCCAUUGCGACUGAAGCUGGUGCAACCUUCAUCAACAUUUCUAAUUCGAGCAUUAUGUCUAAGGUUAAAUUUGUGGCUCACUGAUGUAUUUUGUUCUCACCUCUUUCAAUUUUUUCUGCAUGCCAGCUUAUAUGUUCUUGCUUCAGGUGCCUGGUGAAAGUGAGAAGUACGUGAAAGCUGUUUUCUCUCUGACGAGUAAAGCUUCUCCUUGUAUCAUAUUUAUCGAUGAAGUAAGCGUUUUUUACCAAAGUUUUACUGUUUGUAGCAUUAAUUUUGAGAGGCUAACAUGACUGGGAAUGUUCCUGACAUAUAGGAAACUCUGUUAGCAGAGGGGGGAUACAGUGAGAAGGGUAGUGNNNNNNNNNNNNNNNNNNNNNNNNNNNNNNNNNNNNNNNNNNNNNNNNNNNNNNNNNNNNNNNNNNNNNNNNNNNNNNNNNNNNNNNNNNNNNNNNNNNNNNNNNNNNNNNNNNNNNNNNNNNNNNNNNNNNNNNNNNNNNNNNNNNNNNNNNNNNNNNNNNNNNNNNNNNNNNNNNNNNNNNNNNNNNNNNNNNNNNNNNNNNNNNNNNNNNNNNNNNNNNNNNNNNNNNNNNNNNNNNNNNNNNNNNNNNNNNNNNNNNNNNNNNNNNNNNNNNNNNNNNNNNNNNNNNNNNNNNNNNNNNNNNNNNNNNNNNNNNNNNNNNNNNNNNNNNNNNNNNNNNNNNNNNNNNNCCAGAUGCUCGAAGUAGAGCAUCAUAAGAGGUUUCACUGAAAAUAGAAGUCUGAACUCUUUCGGCGUGAACCAACAUCUCCAUAUCGUUCAUUCCACUUCACAAUCAAAUUUACUGAUUCAGAAGUACGCAUCUGGUUCAAUCAAUAUAUAUAUGAACACAAUUAUUAUAUAAAUUAUUAAAUAUCAAAAUCUGGAUUACAGAAGCAUGAAAUAAGGGAGAUUUUGUUAUGUAGGGUGUGUUUGUUUCAUGCAUACAAAAUAUAUUCCUAGGAUUAGUUUUCCUUGGAAUAUCAGUAUGGGUACCUUUUACCAAGGAAAAUGUAAGAAAAGUGUUUGGAUGGUACGUUAAAUUACUCGGAAUGAAUUUUCAAAAUUUCCGGGAAUAACUAAAAUGUGUUUGGCUUAUAAAAAUUGAUUCCUAGGAAUAAUUGUUUAAAUACCUAAAAUGCCCCUAUUAUUUCUUUACUAUACAUUUAAAAAAUUAUACUUGGUAAUUUAUAUUUUUUUUGUAGAAUAUAAUUUUUAUUUUUUUCGUGACAAUUUUUACAAAGGCCACGAAGUUUUAAUGAAAAGACCACGAAGUUUAACUAAAACAACGGAUUUCGAUUGAAAAUUUUGAAUUUUAUAAAUCCGAUCGUUCGAUAUCACCAAAUUGAACUAACAAACAAAUGAGAAUAAGAAUUUUGAUGACCGGUCUCCGAAUGUAUAGACCGAUUGUAAUAAUAGUCUCACUGAAAACCUAAAUUUAAUGAAAAGGUCAUGAAGUUUGACUAAAAUUAUCGAUUUCGAUUGAUAAUUUUAAAUUUUAUCAAUUCGACCGUUCAAUAUUACCUAAUUGGACAAACAAACAAAUGAGAAUAAGAAUUUUGAUGAUCAUACUUCGAAUGUAUAGACCGAUUGUAAUAAUAAUCUUAUUUGAAACAUAGUUUUAAUGAAAGGGCCAUUAAGUUUGACUAAAAACUACUGAUUUCAACUGAAAAUUUCCAAUUUUAUCAAUCUGACUGUUCAAUAUCAUAUAAUUGGAGUAACAAACAAAUGAAAAUAAGAAUUUCGAUGAUCAGACUUCGAAUGUAUGAACCGAUUGUAAUAACAGUCUCAUCUGAAACCUAUAGUACUCUAAGUUUUUUUUUCUUUUCAAUUAACCUAGUUUACUAAAAAUUUCAAUUUUAAAGAGAUAAGUUAGACUAUCGAGGUUCGAACUUCGAACUUCGAUCCCUCCUAAGCUCACGCGACACCCUCUUAAAAAAACAAAACAAUAAUUAUGUGACUCUAAUAAAAUAAUUUUUUAGAGUUCUUUAAAGAUAAUAAUUUGUAAUUUGGCUAAAAUAAUUUUUUGGAGUUCUUUGAAGUUUUUUUUUUGGUGGAAUGAGUUCUCUAAAGAUAAUAAUAAUAAUAAUUUUAUUCUUUGAAAAAAAAACACAAAAUUCUAAAUAAACAAAAAAUAGAUUUACAAAUGAAAAAUACCCCGUCAUAAAGAAAAUACAAUAGAAAAGAAUGUUAGUAGUGUUGAUAUUAUGGGUUCAAAGUUCAAACCAAGAUGAGAGUGUUGUGCCAAGAAGAAGAUGAAGUUGUUAAAGGGGCAAAAACGUAAUCAAUCAAUAUUCAUUUAAAAAAUUAGUUUUCUCUCUCAUGUGGAACCCACUGUCCAGAAAUUGGUGCAACCUGUUAUGGCAAGUCAAAUGUAGAGAUGCACCGAUGCACCUAAAAAAAAAAGAAAAAAAGUUGCAUAAUAGGGGCUCCCGUAAAAUAUUAUAUAGUAUCAAUAUAAGCUCCAUUAUUUUAAUGCUCUUACAAGUCAUGCUGUGAACACAGAACACAUGACUCAAUGAGUGGACCAAACCCUUACUAUUAUUCAUUUCAUUAUUUUACACACAUGUACACAUAUAAAGUAUAUAUAUAUAUAAAUCUGCAUCCUUUAUAUAGUAUAGUAUAUAGUUUUGCACAUAAACCACAUUCCCGCGUUGACAUUUGUAGAAUUCAAAAAAGAGCAGCUUGACGUGUACCACGUUUUAUGUAUUUAGAGUUUAGUAUUUGUUUAGUAUAGUAGAACCAACUGUGUUGAACCGAUAAGUAUAUAAAUAGCAGAGCACCCUUUAGUUCAUUCAUAGCAGAGCACAAGUUUAUUACAAAACAACACAAAAUCAUCAUAUUCAAUUUCAGCACUAUUAUUAAUUCAAUUCAAAUGGCUUCUAAAAAUGGCUUAUACAACGCAAGUGAGCUUUUCUAAGCUCAAGCUCACUUGUACAAAGUCAUGUACGGCUUCCUCAAUCCCAUGUCUGUCAAAUGGGCCAUUGAUCUUAAAAUACCAGAUAUCAUCUACAAUCAUGCCCAUCCCAUUACUCUUUUCGAGCUUGUUUCAGCUCUUAAAGUUCCACAAUCCAAACAAACAUGCGUCCAACGACUCAUGCGAUUAUUAGCACACAUUGAUUUCUUUGCAAUUGUCAAAUUUCAAGACAACCAAGAAAGAUAUGCUCUUACUCCAACAUCACAACUUCUUGUCUCUGGCACAGAUCAUUGUUUAUCUUCCAUGGUUCGGUUUCUAAACAGUCCCAUUCUCGUUGAUUCCUACAAUCAUUUGGCGAAAUGGACUUCUGGGGAGGAUCUCACAGUUGUUGAGACUGCUUUAGGCCCUGAAAGUUAUUGGGAUUUCAUUCAUCAAAAUUCUGCAUACUUGAAUACUUUUAAUGAGGCAAUGGAAAGUGAUUCUCAUGUCGUGAGGUUGGCUUUGAGAGAUUGUAGGUCUGUUUUUGAAGGGAUCGGUUCACUGGUCGAUGUUGGUGGUGGAACUGGAAACACAGCUAAAAUUAUAUGUGAGGCGUUUCAAGAGCUCAAGUACAUUGUCUUGGACCUUCCACAGGUUGUUUCUGGUUUAGCAGGAAGCAAUAACUUGAGUUUUGUUGGUGGAAACAUGUUUAAAUCUAUCCCACAAGCUGAUGCCGUUUUGCUCAAGGUAUGUCAUUCAACAAGAAUUAUGAUGACGCCUUUUUCUUGUCUUAAUUAGAUGCUAUAUUCUAAUUAGUAAAUAUAAUUAGCCAAAGCUAUUGGUACAAAGUUUUUUAGGUAAUAUUAAUGUAUUACUAUUUUUGCAGUGGGUGCUACACAAUUGGAGUGAUGAUGAUUGCAUAAAGAUACUCAAAAAUUGCAAGAAUGCAAUAUCAAGAAAAGGGAAAGGAGGAAAAGUGAUCAUCAUAGAUGUAGUAAUAAAUGAAAAAGAAGACGAGCAUGAAAUGACAGAAGUAAAGCUUUUACUAGAUGUGACUAUGAUGACCAGUCUCAAUGGAAAAGAGAGAAAUGAAAAGGAAUGGAAGCAACUUUUCUU